This 422-nucleotide ribosomal RNA is filed under the name uncultured bacterium. RNAcentral describes it as "bacterial SSU rRNA". It matches the Rfam family "Bacterial small subunit ribosomal RNA", at positions 355 to 774 of the family's 1533-position model. The record is from RNAcentral.
UGAGGAAUAUUGGGCAAUGCCCGCAAGGGUGACCCAGCAACGCCGCGUGGAGGAUGAAUUUCGUAAGAUUGUAAACUCCUGUUAGAGGGGAAGAAUAGUACCGGUUGGACCGGUAUAUGACUGUACCCUCAGAGAAAGCCCCGGCUAACUACGUGCCAGCAGCCGCGGUAAUACGUAGGGGGCAAGCGUUGUCCGGAUUUACUGGGUGUAAAGGGCGCGCAGGCGGGAUAAAAAGUCAGUGGUGAAAUCCUACAGCUUAACUGUAGAACUGCCUUUGAUACUUUUAUUCUUGAGUUCGGGAGAGAGAGACGGAAUUCCAGGUGUAGUGGUGAAAUACGUAGAUAUCUGGAAGAACACCAGUUGCGAAGGCGGUCUCUUGGUCCGACACUGACGCUGAGGAGCGAAAGCGUGGGGAGCAAACA